RNAcentral lists this ribosomal RNA (305 nucleotides) under uncultured bacterium. RNAcentral's name for it is "bacterial SSU rRNA". It matches the Rfam family "Bacterial small subunit ribosomal RNA", at positions 338 to 661 of the family's 1533-position model. The record is from RNAcentral.
CCUACGGGAGGCAGCAGUGGGGGAUAUUGCACAAUGGGGGAAACCCUGAUGCAGCGACGCCGCGUGAGUGAAGAAGUAUUUCGGUAUGUAAAGCUCUAUCAGCAGGGAAGAAGAUGACAGUACCUGAGUAAGAAGCCCCGGCUAACUACGUGCCAGCAGCCGCGGUAAUACGUAGGGGGCAAGCGUUAUCCGGAAUUACUGGGUGUGAAGGGAGCGUAGGCGGGGAUGCAAGUUGGGUGUUAAAUCUACCGGCUCAACUGGUAGUCGCACUCAAAACUGCAGCUCUUGAGUGAAGUAGAGGCAGG